UCUCUCUCUCUCUCUCUCUCUCUCUCUCUCUCUCUCUCUGAUGUCAUGGUAUUCUGCGUGCGGACUUUUUAGUCGUGUCAAAGUCUCGCUACAAAUGCUUUGAAGCAUUUAAUGGACCAAUUAGAAGAAAGAAUUUUAUAGUGAUCAAUUAAAAAACGUUCAGCUUCAAAACGGUUGCAGCAUCGUGUUGACCGUACCUUUUGUAAGCCUCAGCGAUAGAUACGUUAGUAAAAUGGAUAAGAUUAAUCAUCUUUAUGUUCAUUGUGAUUUCUCGUCAAUCUUCCUUCGCUAUUAGCCGGCGCCCAGACACGCUCGGCGCCAGCGGCGAAUUGGACACAGCAGCCACAACGUAGCCAUUGUUUGUAGGGAACUACUUCUCAAUGCCUCACUAGCGCAGCGAGCGGAGGAAGCCUAAAGAUUUUGUAGAUUGUGAGUUGCCUACAAGCAGCGUUAUAAAAAAAAAGAGAGAUUAGACCACUCGUCCUGUACGGUCAUAUAGAUACAUGCUUCUGUAAUAAAUUCAUCGUUACUAAUUCCAA
Molecule: long non-coding RNA, 539 nt
Organism: Acromyrmex echinatior (Panamanian leafcutter ant)
Lineage: Eukaryota; Metazoa; Arthropoda; Insecta; Hymenoptera; Formicidae
Source: RefSeq, a predicted model, not a curated record